This 553-nucleotide ribosomal RNA is filed under the name Wickerhamiella alocasiicola. RNAcentral describes it as "eukaryotic LSU rRNA". It matches the Rfam family "Eukaryotic large subunit ribosomal RNA", at positions 62 to 658 of the family's 3401-position model. The record is from RNAcentral. Lineage: Eukaryota; Fungi; Ascomycota; Dipodascomycetes; Dipodascales; Trichomonascaceae.
AAACCAACAGGGAUUGCCUUAGUAGCGGCGAGUGAAGCGGCAAAAGCUCAAAUUUGAAAUCUGCCUACAGGCCGAGUUGUAAUUUGGAGAUGGCAUACUGUAGUGAACCUUUGCUCAAGUCUUCUGGAAAGGAGCAUCAUGGAGGGUGAUAAUCCCGUGAGGCAUUGGGUAGCUGCGUGUAGUUUGCCUUCGAAGAGUCGAGUUGUUUGGGAAUGCAGCUCAAAGUGGGUGGUAGACACCAUCUAAAGCUAAAUAUUGGCGAGAGACCGAUAGCGAACAAGUACUGUGAAGGAAAGAUGAAAAGCACCUUGAAAAGGGAGUGAAAAAGUACGUGAAAUUGUUAGUGUGGAAGGGUAUACAAUUGGGGGUGUUGUGUGUAGUUCUCCUUCGGGGGGGCGUUUACUAUUCACCAGCCAGCGUCAGUUGUGGUGCCAGGAUAAAAGUCUAGGAACGUAGCUGCUUGCAGUGUUAUAGCCUAGGCCUAUACUGGCCACUGCGACUGAGGACCGCUUAUAGGACGCUGGAGUCAUGAUUGUAUACCACCCGUCUUGAA